GACGAACGCUGGCGGCGUGCCUAACACAUGCAAGUCGAACGAAGUAAGUUGCUUCACCAAGUGUUGAAUAGCUACCCCCAAGCGCAUUUGCCAAAGGGUAAGCAAAAAGUACUAUCAAUUAAAUAAAAUGGUGAAACAAAAGAAUAGCGAAGAAGAAGCAAAUGCGCUUCACGCUAAUUCCAAGUACCAACACAAAACAAAUUCAAUGUUUGGUGAAGCAACUUGCUUAGUGGCGGACGGGUGAGUAACGCGUGAACAAUCUGCCCCGUACAAAGGGAUAGCCUCGGGAAACCGGGAUUAAAACCAUAUAACACUUAACUGCCGCAUGGUAGUGAAGUCAAAUCGAGUAAGAGGUAUGGGAUGAGUUCGCGUCUGAUUAGCUAGUUGGUGAGGUAAGGGCGUCACCAAGGCGACGAUCAGUAGCGGCCUGAGAGGGUGAACGGCCACACUGGAACUGAGACACGGUCCAGACUCCUACGGGAGGCAGCAGUGGGGAAUAUUGCACAAUGGA
RNAcentral lists this ribosomal RNA (511 nucleotides) under uncultured bacterium. Its description in RNAcentral is "bacterial SSU rRNA". It matches the Rfam family "Bacterial small subunit ribosomal RNA", at positions 28 to 375 of the family's 1533-position model. The record is from RNAcentral.